This 445-nucleotide ribosomal RNA is filed under the name uncultured bacterium. Its description in RNAcentral is "bacterial SSU rRNA". It matches the Rfam family "Bacterial small subunit ribosomal RNA", at positions 354 to 796 of the family's 1533-position model. The record is from RNAcentral.
GUGAGGAAUAUUGGUCAAUGGAGGCAACUCUGAACCAGCCAAGUAGCGUGCAGGAUGACGGCCCUAUGGGUUGUAAACUGCUUUUAUGCGGGGAUAAACUGACUCACGUGUGGGUCAUUGCAGGUACCGCAUGAAUAAGGACCGGCUAAUUCCGUGCCAGCAGCCGCGGUAAUACGGAAGGUUCGGGCGUUAUCCGGAUUUAUUGGGUUUAAAGGGAGCGUAGGCCGUUGUUUAAGCGUGUUGUGAAAUGUCCCGGCUCAACCGUGGCACUGCAGCGCGAACUGGACGACUUGAGUGCGCGGAACGUAUGCGGAAUUUGUGGUGUAGCGGUGAAAUGCUUAGAUAUCACGAAGAACUCCGAUUGCGAAGGCAGCAUACGGCAGCGCUACUGACGCUGAAGCUCGAAAGCGCGGGUAUCGAACAGGAUUAGAAACCCUAGUAGUCC